RNAcentral lists this ribosomal RNA (226 nucleotides) under uncultured bacterium. RNAcentral's name for it is "partial 16S ribosomal RNA". It matches the Rfam family "Bacterial small subunit ribosomal RNA", at positions 524 to 749 of the family's 1533-position model. The record is from RNAcentral.
UACAGAGGGUGCGAGCGUUAAUCGGAAUUACUGGGCGUAAAGCGUGCGCAGACGGUCACGUAAGUCGGGUGUGAAAGCCCCGGGCUCAACCUGGGAAUUGCAUUCGAGACUGCGUGGCUAGGGUGCGGAAGAGGGAAGCGGAAUUUCCGGUGUAGCGGUGAAAUGCGUAGAUAUCGGAAGGAACACCAGUGGCGAAAGCGGCUUCCUGGUCCAGCACCGACGUUCA